This 447-nucleotide ribosomal RNA is filed under the name uncultured bacterium. RNAcentral describes it as "bacterial SSU rRNA". It matches the Rfam family "Bacterial small subunit ribosomal RNA", at positions 355 to 825 of the family's 1533-position model. The record is from RNAcentral.
UCGAGAGGCUUCGGCAAUGGGGGAAACCCUGACCCAGCAACGCCGCGUGAAGGAUGAAGUAUUUCGGUAUGUAAACUUCGAAAGAAUAGGAAGAAUAAAUGACGGUACUAUUUAUAAGGUCCGGCUAACUACGUGCCAGCAGCCGCGGUAAUACGUAGGGACCAAGCGUUGUUCGGAUUUACUGGGCGUAAAGGGCGCGUAGGCGGCAUGACAAGUCACUUGUGAAAUCUCUGGGCUUAACCCAGAACGGCCAAGUGAUACUGUCGCGCUAGAGUGCAGAAGGGGCAAUCGGAAUUCUUGGUGUAGCGGUGAAAUGCGUAGAUAUCAAGAGGAACACCUGAGGUGAAGACGGGUUGCUGGGCUGACACUGACGCUGAGGCGCGAAAGCCAGGGGAGCAAACGGGAUUAGAUACCCAAGUAGUCCCUGAGCGGGCUGGCAAGGCGCAU